This 468-nucleotide ribosomal RNA is filed under the name uncultured bacterium. RNAcentral describes it as "partial 16S ribosomal RNA". It matches the Rfam family "Bacterial small subunit ribosomal RNA", at positions 28 to 507 of the family's 1533-position model. The record is from RNAcentral.
GACGAACGCUGGCGGCGUGCUUAACACAUGCAAGUCGAACGGAAAGGCCAUGCGUUUGUGGGGUGCUCGAGAGCCGAACGGGUGAGUAACACGUGAGUAACACGCACUUGACUUUCGGAUAACAUCAGGAAAAUGCGGCUCAUACCGCAUAGGAGCUCCUGCAGCACGGGGGGGGUUGGAAAGUUUCGGCGGUUGGGGCUGGUUUCGCGGCUUAUCAGCUUGAUGGUGAAGUAGUUGAUUACAAAGGCUUUGAAGGGUAGCCGGCCUGGGAGGGUGACCGGCCACCUUGGUCCUGCGGUACGCCCCAGUCUCCAACGGUCGGCAGCGGGCGGGAAUAUGGCGCAACGGGCCGAAGCCUGUUACAGCGACGCCGCGUUCGGGAUGACGUCUUUUGGGUUGUAAACCGCUUUCGCCGUUGACGUAGCCGUAUUGACGGUAAUGGGUAAGGAAGCACCGGCUAACUACGUG